RNAcentral lists this ribosomal RNA (301 nucleotides) under uncultured bacterium. RNAcentral describes it as "partial 16S ribosomal RNA". It matches the Rfam family "Bacterial small subunit ribosomal RNA", at positions 509 to 807 of the family's 1533-position model. The record is from RNAcentral.
CAGCCGCCGCGGUAAUGCGAAGGGUGCAAGCGUUAAUCGGAAUUACUGGGCGUAAAGCGUGCGUAGGCGGUUUGUUAAGUCUGUUGUGAAAUCCCCGGGCUCAACCUGGGAAUGGCAGUGGAUACUGGCUCGCUAGAGUGUGUCAGAGGAUGGUGGAAUUCCCGGUGUAGCGGUGAAAUGCGUAGAGAUCGGGAGGAACAUCAGUGGCGAAGGCGGCCAUCUGGGACAACACUGACGCUGAGGCACGAAAGCGUGGGGAGCAAAUAGGAUUAGAUACCCGUGUAGUCCCUGUCUCUUAUAC